AUGUGUGGCAAUAACAUGUCAACCCCGCUCCCCGCCGUCAUGCCCGCCGCCUGGAAGGCCAUCACUGCGGUGGUUUUCCUGCAUGGAUUGGGAGAUACUGGGCACGGAUGGGCAGAAGCCUUUGCAGGUAUCAGAAGUUCACAUAUCAAAUAUAUCUGCCCGCAUGCGCCUGUUAGGCCUGUUACAUUAAAUAUGAACAUGGCUAUGCCUUCAUGGUUUGAUAUUAUUGAGCUUUCACCAGAUUCACAGGAGGAUGAAUCUUGGAUUAAACAGGCAGCAGAAAAUAUAAAAGCUUUGAUUGAUCAAUAAGUGAAGAAUAGCAUUCCUUCUAACAGAAUUAUUUUGGGAGGGUUUUCUCAGGGAAGAGCUUUAUCUUUAUAUACUGCCCUUACCACACAGCAGAAACUAGCGGGUGUCACUGCACUCAGUUGCUGGCUUCCACUUCGGGCUUCCUUUCCACAGGGUCCUGUCGGUGGUGCUACUAGAGAUGUUUCUAUUCUCCAGUGCCACGGGGAUUGUGACCCUUUAGUUUCCCUGAGGUUUGGUUCUCUUACAGUUGAAAAACUAAAAACAUUGGUGAAUCCAGCCAAUGUGACCUUUAAAACCUAUGAAGGUAUGAUGCACAGUUCGUGUCAACAGGAAAUGAUGGAUGUCAAGCAAUUCAUUGAUAAACUCCUACCCCCAAUUGAUUGACAUCACUAAGAGGCCUUGUGUAGAAGUACACCAGCAUCAUUGUAGUAGAGUAUAAACCUUUUCCCAUGCCCAGUCUUCAAAUUUCUAAUGUUUUGCAGUGUUAAAAUGUUUUGCAAAUAUAUGCCAAUGGCACAGAUCAAAUAA
This is an RNA transcript of Piliocolobus tephrosceles (Ugandan red Colobus), 837 nucleotides long. It is a transcript of the gene named acyl-protein thioesterase 1 pseudogene, with no coding region annotated. Lineage: Eukaryota; Metazoa; Chordata; Mammalia; Primates; Cercopithecidae. The transcript has a single exon. The record is from RefSeq and is a predicted model, not a curated record.